RNAcentral lists this ribosomal RNA (433 nucleotides) under uncultured bacterium. RNAcentral's name for it is "partial 16S ribosomal RNA". It matches the Rfam family "Bacterial small subunit ribosomal RNA", at positions 29 to 507 of the family's 1533-position model. The record is from RNAcentral.
AACGAACGCUGGCGGCAUGCCUAACACAUGCAAGUCGAACGAGACCUUCGGGUCUAGUGGCGCACGGGUGCGUAACGCGUGGGAACCUGCCCUUAGGUUCGGAAUAACUCCCCGAAAGGGGUGCUAAUACCGGAUAAUGUCUUCGGACCAAAGAUUUAUCGCCUUUGGAUGGGCCCGCGUUGGAUUAGCUAGUUGGUAGGGUAAAAGCCUACCAAGGCGACGAUCCAUAGCUGGUCUGAGAGGAUGAUCAGCCACACUGGGACUGAGACACGGCCCAGACUCCUACGGGAGGUAGCAGUUGGGAAUAUUGGACAAUGGGCGAAAGCCUGAUCCAGCAAUGCCGCGUGAGUGAUGAAGGCCUUAGGGUUGUAAAGCUCUUUUACCCGGGAUGAUAAUGACAGUACCGGGAGAAUAAGCUCCGGCUAACUCCGUG